CGCAUCCGCGUUCCCUGCCGCGUCGCCCUUGCCCUCUCCCCGACGCCGCCUCCGCCGUGCCGCGCCGCCAUCGCCCGCGUCGCUGCCUCCCGCCGCGCUGCUGUCGCCCGCGUCGCUGCCUGCCGUCGCUGCAUCCCGCCGCGCUGCUCUCGCCCGAGUCGCGGUCUCGCCCUCUCUUCCCCUUUACCGUUUGUGCCUCCGCCGUCGCGAAGCCCGCGCCGCCUCCAACGUCUCCCGCCGCACCGUUGAUCUCUGCACUUUGGCAGAAGGCAUGAGGGGCCAUAGGCCAUAGUGGCAGCCUUGGAAGCUUUAAUGCUGUUGCAGUUGGGAGGGCAGUUGUAGCUGGAGUAUUUGUCUUUAAUAAAAGAGAUGAAUUUUGUGUAAAUAAAUCAUUUUUUUAGUUCCACCUUGCUUUGUUAUGUUUAUUUUUAUUUUUCUUUAUGAAUAGGAUAUUUGAAUCAUGAACAAAUGGUUGCUAUUUUACUCCUAAAAUGACUUCUGAUCCAUUUUUGGCGAUUAAAUUGGUGGUUGUCAAUACUCACAUAGUCUCAUCCAUGUCCUGCAUGUGUUAUCUGGUAGGCAAUACCAAUAUACAUGGUUCUUGAUCAGUUGCUCUAGACAGCAGCAAAAAUAGAGGCUAAAUUUUUUGAUGAUAUGUUGUUCUGUUUAGCAUCGGAAAUUGAGCCUACAAUCACUAUGCUUGCCUGCUUGAUCAUUAUUUGCUAGCUAAUAGGUGUACAAACCUGCUCUGUCAUCAAUCCAGUAUAGAUUGGUCAGCGGUGGUGGUUCACCAGCACAUUCAUCUAUGCUUAGUGGGGCACGAUCACUUGAUUUUGUGUCUGAAUGAUUCAGUCUGAAUCAAUCUAUGCUUAGUGGGGCACGAUCUUUAAUUGAGCACCGCAAGCUAUGUUGAAAUAGAAAAAUAACUUGUCAUGUUAUGAGUA
This is a long non-coding RNA of Panicum virgatum (switchgrass), 944 nucleotides long. RefSeq lists it as uncharacterized. The transcript is spliced from 2 exons. Lineage: Eukaryota; Viridiplantae; Streptophyta; Magnoliopsida; Poales; Poaceae. The record is from RefSeq and is a predicted model, not a curated record.